RNAcentral lists this ribosomal RNA (465 nucleotides) under uncultured bacterium. Its description in RNAcentral is "partial 16S ribosomal RNA". It matches the Rfam family "Bacterial small subunit ribosomal RNA", at positions 28 to 507 of the family's 1533-position model. The record is from RNAcentral.
GAUGAACGCUGGCGGCGUGCUUAACACAUGCAAGUCGAACGGAAAGGCUCCUGCUUGCAGGGGUACUCGAGUGGCGAACGGGUGAGUAACACGUGGGUGAUCUGCCCUGCACUUCGGUAUAAGCCUGGGAAACUGGGUCUAAUACCGGAUAGGACGAUGGUUUGUAUGCCAUUGUGGAAAGUUUUUCGGUUUGGGAUGAGCUCGCGGCCUAUCAGCUUGUUGGUGGGGUAAUGGCCUACCAAGGCGUCGACGGGUAGCCGGCCUGAGAGGGUGUACGGCCACAUUGGGACUGAGAUACGGCCCAGACUCCUACGGGAGGCAGCAGUGGGGAAUAUUGCACAAUGGGCGCAAGCCUGAUGCAGCGACGCCGCGUGGGGGAUGACGGCCUUCGGGUUGUAAACUCCUUUCGCUAGGGACGAAGCGCAAGUGACGGUACCUGGAGAAGAAGCACCGGCUAACUACGUG